This 724-nucleotide long non-coding RNA is filed under the name Heterocephalus glaber (naked mole-rat). Its description in RNAcentral is "lncRNA (ENSHGLG00000039583.1)". The record is from RNAcentral. Lineage: Eukaryota; Metazoa; Chordata; Mammalia; Rodentia; Bathyergidae.
CAGGACCCCAGGUAGAGAAAGUAUCUGUGAAAGAUUAAGAAGAUGGCUGAUUCCAUGCAGAUGCCACACAACUGUCACAGACACCCCAGGGAUGGACUCCCCGGGAGUGACCACCAGUGACCUACCAAAAUCAAGAACAUCCUAAAGUGCCUUGUCCAGGAGGAGAGAAAUCCAUCCACCACAGAGCUGCAGGCCACUGGAGAAAGCUAUAUUAUGCGAAUGGCCACAAUUUUCAGGCCAAAUGCUUCAGCAGGGGCUUUGCUGAUGUUCAGGAGCAUCCAUUCUUUCAAAAUGUGGACUGGGACAUGAUGGAACAAAAGCAGAUGAUAAUGACAUCGUGAGGGAGAUCGAUGGAUAUGAAUUUGCAGGUUUUGAGUAUAUCAAUCGUCUUAUGAUGUAUGAAGAAGAAGGGAUCUGAUCCUCAUUUUUAAACUAUGCAUUUUGCUUAUGUUGCCAUUUAAUGCUUGGAAAAACUUGUUACCAGCCUGGAUAGAAUUAACCAUUUCAGAGUUGUUUGGAAGCUAAUUUUAAUUUAUUGUUUUGAAGUUAUAUUUAGAUGUAAUAUUUUAUUCUUAUAGUCUAUAGUAGAGAAUAAGGAAUUUUUUGUUCAUAGAUUAGAUUUUUAUGAACUUAUUUAAAUAACAAUGAGGCAAUCACUUGUUAACCACACUUGUAUAUACAUUCCAUUUGUUGAGUGGGACAUAAUACCUAACAUUUUUUCUUU